This is a non-coding RNA of Acanthosepion pharaonis, 92 nucleotides long. The record is from the annotation of a GenBank genome assembly. Lineage: Eukaryota; Metazoa; Mollusca; Cephalopoda; Sepiida; Sepiidae.
CCAUAUAUUGAAACACUGGUUCCCAUACAUUCACCAAAGUUAAGCAGCAUUGAGCCCGUUCCGUACCUAGAUGGAUGACCACUUGGGAAAGC